ACUUCGUAUAAAACCACAGAAAGCUGGUUUCUCAGGAAGCCUCUCCUUGAGUCUGGCUAGGAGAGCACAGGGCUCCCUUUUCUGCCUGGGAACUUGUCCCAGAGGACAAGCAAGGUGGGAAAUGUUUAGGAGACUCUGGUCUUCUGAGUGCUGCUUCCCUGACAGACUCUUACCUUGGGGAGCCUGUUGGGUGGUGGUGGGUAGGGCUCGGAAACUCCGAGGACUGGUGGCUGGCUCUGACUCGUCUGUGGAGAGCCCACUGUCAGCUUCAACCUCCAGGGAGCCAAUGGUCUUCUCCAGGAAGAGCAGACACUCCUUUUCUUCAGCAGACAGGAAGUCGUAGCUGCUGUCACUCUGUUGGGAGAAGCAGCUAUGAGAUGACCCAAUGGAGCGUGACUACUCUAACUGAUAUCUUCCAGUCAGAAACAGGAUGAUGUCUCUGUGUCCCCAGUCU
This 454-nucleotide long non-coding RNA is filed under the name Mus caroli (Ryukyu mouse). RNAcentral describes it as "lncRNA (MGP_CAROLIEiJ_G0002390.1)". Lineage: Eukaryota; Metazoa; Chordata; Mammalia; Rodentia; Muridae. The record is from RNAcentral.